Camellia sinensis is the source of this 693-nucleotide non-coding RNA. Lineage: Eukaryota; Viridiplantae; Streptophyta; Magnoliopsida; Ericales; Theaceae. The record is from RefSeq and is a predicted model, not a curated record.
AAUUUUGUUUCCGUCAAUGUUUUGAGAAAAACAAUUUUGUGCAUGCAUGAACUAAACUUUUUCUAUGGAGCUUAUUCUUUGUUACUUAAUUUAAGUAAUUGCGGCUUUGGUCUGUAAAUGGAAUUUCUGAGAACGACGUGAAUUGGAGGUUCGGUUUGAUUCGUCUGAUAAGCAUGGGUUUGAGGUUUGAGCUGCUGAUCUUGAGAUUGUGGUCAUCCCCCUUUUUGUACAUUUUUCCGGCCUCUAUGACAAUUUUCAGUCGUUGGAAUGGAGCCUACAACCUGUCAUUGCUUAAUAAUUAGAAUUCAAUAAUUAACCAUUGGGUGUUAGCUUGAAUAGUCCAAAUUUCAGCUGUAUUGUUACUUGUACCAAUGGGACAUUCGAAAGCUUAUAUCCAGUGACAACUUGAUUUUUUCUGUGAUAUUUUUGUGAGAUGAUUAAAUGAUUAACUCUUUUCAAACUAGUAUUGAUUCUAAGAACAAUAUUGAACUUCUUUGUACUGCUAUUGGAAAAGGUUUUGGCAUCCAAGUAGUGUUGAGGGAGUAGUUGAUAUGAUUGAGUGGGUGAUAUUGAGAGUUAAAUUCAGUUUUUUUUUUUUUAGUACUUGAAUCUAUUAGUAUUUUGUAUAAAUACUUUUAAGGAUGGUUGAUGGAUAUUUGUUUUGUGUGUAUAGAAGUUUAUAUUUUGUAUGCA